RNAcentral lists this ribosomal RNA (265 nucleotides) under uncultured bacterium. RNAcentral describes it as "partial 16S ribosomal RNA". It matches the Rfam family "Bacterial small subunit ribosomal RNA", at positions 793 to 1055 of the family's 1533-position model. The record is from RNAcentral.
GUCCACGCCCUAAACGAUGUCAACUGGUUGUUGGGGAGUGAAAUCCCUUAGUAACGAAGCUAACGCGUGAAGUUGACCGCCUGGGGAGUACGGUCGCAAGAUUAAAACUCAAAGGAAUUGACGGGGACCCGCACAAGCGGUGGAUGAUGUGGAUUAAUUCGAUGCAACGCGAAAAACCUUACCUACCCUUGACAUGUCCAGAAUCCUGCAGAGAUGCGGGAGUGCCCGAAAGGGAAUUGGAACACAGGUGCUGCAUGGCUGUCGU